UGCGUAGGUGGCGAGCGUUGUCCGGAUUUACUGGGCGUAAAGGGAGCGUAGGCGGACUUUUAAGUGAGAUGUGAAAUACUCGGGCUCAACUUGAGUGCUGCAUUUCAAACUGGAAGUCUAGAGUGCAGGAGAGGAGAAUGGAAUUCCUAGUGUAGCGGUGAAAUGCGUAGAGAUUAGGAAGAACACCAGUGGCGAAGGCGAUUCUCUGGACUGUAACUGACGCUGAGGCUCGAAAGCGUGGGGAGCAAACAGG
RNAcentral lists this ribosomal RNA (253 nucleotides) under uncultured bacterium. RNAcentral's name for it is "partial 16S ribosomal RNA". It matches the Rfam family "Bacterial small subunit ribosomal RNA", at positions 524 to 776 of the family's 1533-position model. The record is from RNAcentral.